RNAcentral lists this long non-coding RNA (1282 nucleotides) under Equus caballus (horse). RNAcentral describes it as "lncRNA (ENSECAG00000051686.1)". Lineage: Eukaryota; Metazoa; Chordata; Mammalia; Perissodactyla; Equidae. The record is from RNAcentral.
UUUCCAGCAAUUAAUGUACGGUAGGCAGUAAAUUUUAUUCUGGAUAUUAAGUAAUGACUAAGACACUGUUUAUUCUCACAAGGCACUCAUUGGCUAAACAUGAUGCGAGAUGUAAAAAAACUGUAAUAUCCUGAGGUGACAUUGAACUCUGGUGAAGUUUAUCCAAAGAAGUUGACUCUUCAAUGAGAGUUUAGUGAAAGUGUCACAGACAAGCUUGUGACUGUGCUCAGCCUUGAACAAGGUGUUGGAAUUCUCCCAGGUGGUCGGGAGGUGGGAGUACUCCAGGAUGAGCAGGGAGGGGAGGACAUUUAGGGGUAAUUAGACUGUAAGGUGUGUUUAUAAAAUGACAAUAUGACAUUGUAAUUGUAAUGCAGAUUAUUACUGUCUGACCAAUACUCAGUAGCAGAGGGUGGGAAAUGAAACCACAUGAGCUUGGUCUGAGAGAACACAGUCAGAUGAAGAAAGAGCCUUAUAUUUUGGCCACAGGAUUGUAGUUUGAUUCUGAAAUUAGUAGACAGUAAAUGCAGGUUUCAUGCAAGGGGACAGCCGUGAUCAGGCCUGCUCUCUGUAAAAGUCACCCAGGUCAAUGUGAGGAACAGACUGUUGCUGCUUUCAAAGUGUGAGAGAGACUGAGGGACGGAAACAGCACAGAAACCCUGGGAGUGGAAGGAGAGGAGCGGGUCUCUGAGGGGGGAAAAUAAUGUAUCCAAAAAUUCCAACUAAUUUUUCCAUUAACUAGUGUAUUUUUACUAGAAACAAUGCCAGAAAUGUUAUAUUCAUCAUUUAAAUCUCCCAGAAACUAUGAAUUUGGUAUCAUUAUCCUAUUUUAUAAGGAAUGUGACUGACUGUAGUGAUAGUGCUUGUGCAGGGCACAUAAUGGAGUCUGGAGACAUGUUCAGAACUCAUCGUUUCCAGGUAUUUUGCGUUUCGCGAGUACUCAUAUUUAAUUAACUUUAUUUUUUGAAGAGUUGUACACUUACAAAAAACUUGCUGUGAUAGUACAGAGAGUUUCCCUCAGCUCCAUUCCCAGUUUCUGCUCGUAUGAACACAUCCUGUCUGUUAUCCUACACUACAUUUAGUCCUUUCUGCCUAGCCUCCCCUGGCUGUGACAGGUUCUCAGGCUUUCAUUGUUUUUUAAGAACCUGGUAGUUUUAGGGAGUAACGGUCAGGUGUUUUGUAAAAUGUUCUUCAACAGAAUUUGUCUGUUUUAUUCUCAUGAUUAGGUUGGGAUUAUGGAUUUGGGGCAAGAAGAUUAGAGAAGUAAAUUGCCAUUUUCAUCACA